RNAcentral lists this ribosomal RNA (969 nucleotides) under Triticum aestivum (bread wheat). Its description in RNAcentral is "partial small subunit ribosomal RNA". Lineage: Eukaryota; Viridiplantae; Streptophyta; Magnoliopsida; Poales; Poaceae. The record is from RNAcentral.
AUGUCAGCGCCCGGCGAGAGCGGCGCCCGUCGGCGGCAGCGCAGGAGGUGGCGCCUGUACUGGUGCUACGUGUGCCGCCGCGCGCUGCGCACCGUGUCGUCCCCGACCUCCGACGUCUUCUGCCCGCGCUGCCUCGGCCGCUUCCUCCACGAGAUCGAGCUCCCCGUGCCGCGCGAGCCCGUGCACGCGCCGACCGAGCGGCUCUUCCAGCCGCCACCGUUGUUCCCGUACGAGGGCGCCCCCCGCCACUGGGUCAUAUACAGGGGCGAGGACGACGACGACGCGGCCGACACGCCAGGCCCACGUCUCCGCCGCGUCCCGUCCCCGCCGCCGGCCCCGGGAACGCACGGCGGCUUGGGCGGUGCCGAUGCCGGUCCACCGGCAACCGGCAUCGACCAGGCGGGGUUCUUCACCGGCCCCAACCUGAACGCGCUCAUCGAGGGUCUGACGCAGAACGACCGCCCCGGCCCGCCGCCCGCGCCGGCGUCGGCGAUCGACUCGCUCCCGACGGUGCACGUCUCGCCGGAGCACAUGGCGGACGGCUCGCAGUGCCCCGUGUGCAAGGAUGAGUUCGAGAUCGGCGAGACCGCGCGCGAGCUGCCUUGCAAGCACGCCUACCACUCCGACUGCAUCGUGCCGUGGCUCCGGCUCCACAACUCUUGCCCUGUCUGCCGGCAGGAGCUGCCAAUGCCGGCCGGUGAUGAAUCUCCCGAUGGCGCGGGCGCGGGCGCAGGCGACGGAGGCGAGGAGACGGUUCCGCCGUGGCAGCUGCUUGCCGGCUGGGGGCCACUGGCUUGGCUGCUAACGCUGGGGGAACCGGACGUGGGCGGCUGGGGUAAUGGACCUGGGCGGCGUGGGACGGAAGCCGACGCCGAUGAGACCGGUGACAAUGUCAGUCGUGGCACCACGAUUCUUCAGUCGUUUGUUCUCGUCGCUGCUUGCUUUUUCUUUGUCUCCUUUCUCGUUUGA